Molecule: long non-coding RNA, 31692 nt
Filed under: Phoenix dactylifera (date palm)
Lineage: Eukaryota; Viridiplantae; Streptophyta; Magnoliopsida; Arecales; Arecaceae
Description: long non-coding RNA (PDAC_LNC006353)
Source: RNAcentral
GAACAUCCACGGCCUGAUUCCUUCGAGAUAUUCCUAAAGGAAUAUCCACAGGAUUUAAAUGAUUUUGGGUCUAAAUUUUGUGGGGGAGGAUCGGACCUAGUUAGUCAAAUUUCAUAAAAUCCUUUGGAUCCAGGGGCCAACGCAGGCAUGUUUAGGUAUCUACUUUAUGUGCCGGUAUACCUCGGAAAUAAUUUAUUAAUGCCAUGGGUUCAAAUAUGGUUAACAAGUUUUCGUAAGAAACGUGAAGGGAAUAAAAUGGGUGACAUAAAAUAUUUUUUCUCCUAAAAUGGGUGGUAGUUAAAUAUGGUUCAAAUAUGGUCUAAUAUUAUUUUUUUUAUUACACCCAGGUCGUGACAUGUAAUAUUUUUUUUCUAAAUACAUCUUUGGAUGCAUAUUUGUCUAGCCUCGAACAAAUUAUAACUAAAGUUUGAGUUUGCAGGCUUGGGUAGAGCUUUCUAAGGGAAUGGUUUUUAUAUUUAAUUAAUAUCACACUUAUAUUAUAGCUCGUUUUAGAACUUCUUUUAUGCUUCCCAUAUCUUGCAAGUUGGGGUGUCAUUGGGAGAACCGGAAGUGAGAGCGGCGUCCGUUUCACUAUUGCUUCUUCUGCUAUAGAUUAAUGACUGUACUUCUCGCCCAGCCCAACCCCAUUCAGGCUGACAAAAUAUUCUAGGAGUAAGGGUGCAAUUGGAUCGAAUUAGACCGCGAAAUGAGUGAUCCCAACCUAACCUGAUUUUAUAUUUAAAUAAUAAUUUUGAACCCAAACCUGAUUCAUUGACUGAUUGGGUCAGAUCAGGGUAGGGUGCACCGAAAGGAUUUUAGAUCUAUUGGAUUAUUUGAGUUAGGUCAAGAACAAGUGCGACCCUUAUCUAAUCCGAAAUGUUUGAAUUUGGGUUGGGGUUGAGUCGGUUUUGUAGGUCAAAGCAUCUAGCUACUAUUUUAUAUUUAGAAUAUAAUAAUUGUUUUUGACCCCAUUUUGGUUCAUAAUCCAAUGUUUUAUUCUAUCAUAACCAGAUAAUUGAAUGAUGUUCUAUAGUUAUCUUGAUUAGUUUUUAAAAAACAAAAAUAGAAUGUUCAUUAGUUAUUCAUUUUUAUUUGUUUUGCGAAUACCGCUUGUUCAUCUUUAUUAUGUGGAGGGAGACCUGUAAUAUUUUUAUUUAAGAUUCUUUUUGGCCAUAAAUAUAUCCACCCACGCUUGCAAGUUUACAAUUUAAGGCCCCGAGCUGGAAAGGGCAGUAGCACUGCUGCUAAUUAAUUCGAGAAAUAUAUCUUUUCUUGAAAGUUUUCCUGCCUAAAAUGAAAGAAAAUGUUUGAUGUAGAUUAAAGUAGACAAAACUGCAUAGAGAAAGUCACUGUAAAUGAAAAUUGUAUACUUUUGAGAUCAAACAACGAAAAAUUUAGCUUUUCGUGAAAGAAAUUUACAAGUUAUACGGUUGCUGAAAGAAGAAUGUAACAGAUAGGACUUACAAGCUAGCUUAUGGAUAGAAGCUAAAAGAAGUUUGCAUUAUAAUAGAGUUGCAGAUAGAAAUCCACUUAGGAUAGUUUUGGUUACAAAAAACUAGUCAUAUUUAAGUUGGGUGGGUUGUUGGAUUGAUUAAAAGCUAAUCCAAUCCCAACAAAAAAAGUGGGAAGGUACAUUAUAUUAAGUUGGAUUAUAUUGAGAUAAUCAGGUUAGCUUCUUUUGUAUAGGGAUUUUAAGAUUGAAAAAAAGUGUCAAACAUUCUAUUUAGUCAAUAUCAUGUUGAAUUGGGAUUGAGAACUCUAAAACUUAAUAACAGUGAAGGUAUGCUUAAACUUAUAAGUAUUUAAAAUAGAACAUAAAUUGAUAAAUAUUGAGGUUAUCUAUUGAACAGGCUGGGCUGGUCCUCUUAGGUUGAGACGAGAGCAAGUUGCACCCCUUUGUAUAAUAAUUCUUUCAAGAUUUUAGCAGGAAAUUUUUUCUUUUCCGAACUAGCCUCAUUGACUAUUCUCAUUAAAACAUGAAUAAAUCUUUUAAUGGCCUGUCACAUGAAAGCAAAUAUACUUUGUAUCGCAUGCCUGUGAUGUUCCAGCUUGAUACUAUAUAUCAUGGUAAACACAGUGCCAUGGUAAUACUUUAGCAAGUACAGCCUAUCCAAUACUAAUGUUGUGCAACAAAAAGGCAUAACUUGGUACACAUCAUGCAUUGUGUUCUCAACUGCCCUGUUUGGCUAAGGAUAAGUGGGAGAUAUCCUCCUAGUUUUCAAACACAAAAGUAAGGGUCGAAAUCAAGUCUUAAACUAUGUCGGAUUAAAUUAUACCACAAAAUAAGAGAAAUUUAUCUCCUUCAAUUACCUUUUGCCCUUAUCCACUCGAUAUAUACAUAAAAAAGUGGGAAGGUAGUUUCAUCCUUUGUGACAAAAUUUAAAGCAUCUCAAAAUCCAUUGUGCUCGCUUAUCUACUUCUCCUGUUCCUCCAACCAUCAACCAAAUACCAAAUAGCUUCUAUUCCAUGGAGUAGGCGUAUCCCUCUAAGAAUACAUGAGAUAUUCUUUCCAAAAUUUAUUCCGCAACCAAAUGCAGCCAACAAGAUUUUCAGUACCAAUAUUCUAUUAGUACGAUGUCAUUUUCCGUACCAACACUUCAAUAUGAGGGAUGCCCUAAAUAUCAGUUCAUAGGAGUCCAUGCAGUCCAGUACUAAAAAACAGGAAUCUCAUCCACCCUGAAUUCUGAUUCAGACACAGAAAAGCAGCCAGCAUCCUACACAUGCCACCUAAUAUUAUACCAGUACAAAUUAAUACAAGAACAACAAUUCAUUUUUCCACAGCUCAAUGUUGUAUAAAGAUGCCAUAUUUAAAAUUCCCAGCUAUAAUAAGUUCACCUAUAAUGAGUAAAAACUCUGUAAGCUAUAAUGAGUGAAAACUGUGAGCUAGAAAAAGAGAAACAACAUCCUGUUACUGGGUUUGAGGAUUGUAAAAUGCCAUUCUGGGUGGCAGCAGUGGCCGAUAACUAGGUGCCAUUGGUUUUCGAAUGCUGGACUGUGCUGGCUGCUGAUUUAUUGACACAGGUUGGUUAGUUGGCUGUUGAUUUAUUGGCAGCGGCUGGUACAUAGGCGGCGGCGGCAGCUGUUGGAACAAGGCUACAGGCUGCUGCUGCUGAUGUGUCAAAGACACAGGCAUUGUCAGGUUCAUCAUCUGAGGCGGAGGCGACGGUGGUGGAGGUAGGGCAUUGUAAGAGUCCAGCAGUCCAGUCAUCACUCCUUCAGAUGGUUGUAGGUACUGCAUUGUGGAACUUUGAUAGAGAUUGAAUUGGGGCUGGAAUGACAUAGUUUGGUUUUGUAUAGGAGUUUGCUGCACUAGAACAGUUUGAGGUGGAUGUGGUGCUGAAAUAGCCAUUUGUGGAACAGGCAUAAAGGCUGUCGCAGUGGCACUGGGAUUGGAAAUUGGCAUGGGAUUCUCCAAUUUCAUCUUCUUAGAUGGUGGUUCAGAGUUAAUUGAAUCAGCUGAUCUAACAAGAUAAGCACUCUCCGCUUCUUCUGCAACAAAUGCGGAGAGGACAGAGGUCUUUAUCUUCAGGGAACGAGUAGAAGCAACAAACUUGUUGGCUACCUCAGCAGCAAUUGCAGCAGUACCCUUAUUCUGUGGUUGAAGUGCAGGAUAAUUUGAGUUUGGUUUUGGAGGUUCUGCUGAAGGUGGCAGCUUUGCUGACAUCACAACUGGUUCAUCAUGAACCUGCCUUUGCAUGUCCUCAGCUUCCUCCAGCGUUCCUUGGGCCACCUGCCAUUUAGAAUGUAUUUGUUAGAUCGAACAAAACUCAAAAUCAUCACGAUUGUCGGAGUAUACCAAAUGUAAUUGUAUUUGUCAGUCCCUGUUAACCGAAAACUGUAUCGUGAGUCAAGAGGAGAGCUUUAUCUUGCAUAUAGGAGAUUUAGUCAUCUAAUUCACAAAUUUUCAUGCUAACAUUAACUAGACUGUUGUCACUAACCUAAAAUGAUAUUUGUAAUGAAUUUUAAUAGAUUGAUACUCUGCUAUGUCCCAAAGAGAUGUCACUAUGCCAGUUUCCUAAAAUUCAGAAUACAAGGGUGACAAACAAUUUCUUGUCAUAUGAGAUUGCCCUAGCAAGCAUUGUACCCCAAGCUUGCUCCAAUGGUGUAAGUAUUCCUGUAAUAUAUAUGGAAAUAUAGAUAUGCACAAGAUUGUUGAUUGGUCAACCAUGCAAAGUCAUAAGCCUACGGGUUAGAGAUCACACCUAGUGCAUGACUGACAACUCUACCUUGUCAUGACACUCCUGAAAAGUGGCUGAAAUAGAAGUACAGCCUACCAAAGAUGUACCGGUCUUCUCUCUCGCACUCUCCGACUUCAAUAAGAAGAUUGAUGGAUGUCAACCUAAUGCUUGUUUUUCAUAUGUAGAGAAAUACCAGAGCGCUGUAUCUAUAGCUGUUGUUGGACCUUCCAUCACAGUCCUAGGUCUAAUAGGAUUUGUCUCCUUAUAUAUGUAACCAGGACCAGUGUCCUAACUUGAUCGUGAAACCAUUUAAGUUUGGUUAAAGUUUCACUAGAAAGAGGUCCUAAGAAGAUGCUAAGUCUAACAAUUUGGAGAUCCAAGACAAGCAUUAGAUGAUUUACACAUUAAAGAAGACAUCAUGUUUAGAGAGAACAAGCUUGGAAACCAAAUUACAAACCUGUAUCUGAGUGCGAACAUUCUCCAGAGUAGAUUCCUGAAUAACUUCGAUAAGUGAGUACGCAGAACUCCAUGCAUAUCUAAGUCAAGUGUGGUUAAUAGCAAUUACAAACUACAAAAAUCAAACCUGCUCCUCCAGUGCCGCUUUUAACUGAGAAACAAGGGCUGCUCUGUUUGCCUCAACUGAUAUGAGCUUCUCAAGGCACUUGGUUAGAUGAUCUCAUGCUUCUGUAACUCAUUUGCUAAGGUCUCCUUCCGAGGGUCCCCUACCAAAACCAGAAAUAUUGAGAAAUGCCAUGCAGUAUAUGAUGAAGGAUUACGAGGAAUGGCAGAACUUGUAAAAGAGAAACUGUUUUCUAUAAUGGCUAAAAUAUUUUUAGAUCACCUCGACUGCAGGCAUAUUUAAUUUUCUUUUCCAAUUCCCAGACAUGCCGAACAGCAUUCAUGCACUUGUUCAUGUCCACAUCCUCUUUAGGUUUUUCACUGAUAACAAUACGAAAGGCAGAUAAAAUCUUUUCUUCUUUGCCUCCAACAGAUAAUUUCUGGAUUUAAGAGAAUUGUUAAUUCAAUCAGUUCCCUUAUUUCGUCAUAGAUAUUUGUUGUUAAAAAAGUUAGGAUCAAGAAAAUGAAUGGGGCUUUUACAGUCUGAGAGUCUCUUCUUACAAUUCCAGCAGAACUACAAGAAUAAUUUUUGUUCAAUUCCAAUGCAGGUGAAGGUUCAUUUCCAAGAAUAAAGUCUUUAAAGUCUUGACCACGAGAUCCAAAAACUCUUCUCUCUACCCAAAUAUUAACCUACAAUAAUAAAUGAGCAUCUCUCAUAUUAGAAGACCNNNNNNNNNNNNNNNNNNNNNNNNNNNNNNNNNNNNNNNNNNAAGUCAUCAAUAAAAUACCAUUCAGAUUCAAGACCUUGUAAUCAUAACACCGCAUAUAGUAGAUUAUGAAGCUUUCUUCACUUCUUCAAUGGAACUCAAUGGAGAGUCACACAUAUAGCAUUUUUCUUUUCUUUUUUUCUUUUCCUUUUUUUUCGAGGGUGGCGGUUUGGGUGAGGGGAGACAACGAUAGGCUCAAGAAUCAUUGCACCAAACAAUACAAGAUCACAUAUAUCAAGCUUCAUGAUGCACAAGUCUAAUCACAAACUGAAAAAUUCAUAGUCUAAUUAUCUCUAGAAAUAUUUUCGAGCAAGUAUUAGUGAAGCUUAAGAAAACCACAUAUGCAAGUUACUGUGAUAAAUCUAAUUUAUGGUCAAGGUAUGCUUAAAUGUUAUUAAUGCUCCAACUAGUUAAAAAAAAUAAAUUAAAGAACUUGGUCGAAGGCUUUAUGGUGAAAACAACAUGCAGAUGGAGUUCUUAGGAAUACCCAAAGAUUUCACUAGGAUAGAAUUUAGUAAAAUCUUAAUUAAUUAGUAAGGUUAAUCUAAAUCUAGGCAAAUGCACCUCAGGUAUGUUUCUUGACACAAAUGCAUAGGCAGCUUAAAUCAUGUGGAAGAAUAGGCACAUGCAACCGAUGCCCUGGUUGCUGAUUGAGUACAUUAUCUGACAUCAAGCUUUCUUUCUUUUCUUCCCUUUUCCUUUCCUUUUUCUUUUCUUUUCUUUCAUGUCGGCAGGGCAUGGAGGGUGAGAAUGGGAGGGGAAUGGAUCAUUGUUUCAAAGGCAAUUUACUACCUAGUCAAGUGCUCGGACAACUGUGAUGAAGUUGAAAGGAAGAACCAGAUUCACAUGUUGCAUAUCUUAUUGAUGAUUAUCCAGAGCAGAAGCAGAGAUCAAGCGAAGUGACAGGUUGCUUAAUUCCUAUAUAACAGAGCACUAAUAAGUAAUUGUGUGGAUAAAUUGCUUUGAUGGACUAUGAUGAAGCUGAUGGUAAAAGUUUGUGACAAGGUACACCAUACCAUACUCGUCUGAACGGUACGAGGCAUACCGUACCAUAUUGGCUUAGUACCGGUACAUGGCAUGGGGGACAUACCGACACUUGGUAUGCUGAAGCAGCCCCUGUACCGGGCAUCUACAGACACAAUAAUAGGAUGGCAUCAGUACGGAACCUUGUAUCGAGACUGCGUACCAUGGUUUAUGAUCUUUGUGAGAAAGAAAGUUCUACAAGAAGGCAUAUUUAAAUGAACAAAAUUCAUCCCAUGUCAUGCAUGACUUACAAAAACGUGCAUGGAGAUUGUUCAGGUGUCUUGCAGUGUUACACUUAGCUCCUUUUCAAGUUUGUUGCUAUAGUAUUCAAAUAUGAGGCAGCAUCUCAGCAGUCUUAUUUCAUUUCUAUUGUCUGUCUUAAAAAACAAAUAGCAGAAGGACAAAAGAAUUUGGGUUAAAAAACUGAAUACAUGAGAGGUGGUGGUCAUACAUGACAUGGUAGAAUGUUGUGACCACGCCUCUAGAGAAAAGGUUUGGAUAUGUCGAUCAUGUUUUCGUAUAAGAUCAUGGCGGAGCCGCGGAGGGUUGUCAAAAUGUUUGAGGGAGAUGAAGGAAUGCUGAGACCAGUUGGAAACCAGAGAUUUUGAACAUUAAAUGUUAUACUUUUUCUUUUCCUAAUUUAAACAACCGUGGUUCAAGAUAGAUGGAAAGAGCUUCAUUUUAUCUGAAUUUGCACAUAAAUGACAAUGGAUCAUAAGAGAGGACCACAAAUUCAUUCACAUUAUAAAUUUAUAAUAUAAAACAGAUGGCAAGCAAAUACAUGAAGAUCUGAUCCAUGUUAUCGAUGCACAUAUAUUUAUAAAUAGAACUGAUACAGAUAAAACUAAUUAAUGAUAAAAUUAGCCCGCACCAGUCGAGAGAUGAUAUUCUUUUCAUGUUCACCACCAUUUUUGAAAACAUCCAUAAGUGCUGCUGGAAGAACCUUCCAAAAUCUAUCAACAAAUUCAGGCCCAGUACGCCUGCCAUUCUGUAAGAUGUCAUUAGCAAGAUAUAGAUAUGGAAUCUUCUUUUCCUUUCGGGAACUACGGAAUUGCUUGGCCCAUGUUUGGACAACUUGCUCUGCAUUCUUUCGGUGAAAAAUACACCAACAUGACAGAGCUACGGACAAGUGAAGUUAAGGUGACAUAUUUGAUUACAGAAAAGAUCAGCUUACAGCAGUAUUACAAAUAAAACACAAACAUGAUGGCAUCCCAAGAACAAUAGACAAAUCGAUAUGGUCAUCAUGAAAAAGAGCAUAGUUCUAAUUGCAAUUGUUUCUUCCUAUAGCUCUAGUCCCGAGAGCUACACUUUAAGCAUACCUAUUUUAACCUACUGUAAGUGAUUUGGUUUGCAUUAUCUUAAAUUUUGCACAAGCCAACUAAGAUUUAUUUGGGUCAUAGUAUAUUGAAAGCAAUCAUACUAGACAUAGUUUAUGUUCUUGAAAUUUCCAAAUAUAAUAUUUAUAAUGACUUCCAAAGCUUGUUUUUUAAUGAUAACCUAAAUGUUAACAUUACAUUCUGAUUUAUGCCUGUUUUGGCGAGAAUUUUAAACAUGGGGCAUGCUCCAAAAUCAAAAUUUCCAAUAUUUUUAAAACUGUAUCAUCCAAAUCCUUUGGUUUUCCAACCCAUCAUUCUUCAUGUUGAGCAUUGAAAAUCUUAACCCAGUAUGAUAGUGAACUGACCGGAUGGCAUGGUUCCUGUGGAGAGACUCCUGAAUAUAAUAUUAUAACAAAACAAUGUUAUUUUUUGAGAACCAAUAAAACAGCAUAUCCCAUGGAAAGAUUACAAGAACAUGGAGCCUUGCAUCUCUAAUAACAUAAUGAAAGCUUGGAAUGCGUAUAAAGAAAGAAAAUUAGACAUAGAAUCCCACAAUAUAUAUCCAAAAGCAUCUCAAAGAUAUCGAGACUCCAUGCCGGAUAUCACGCGCUAAAUGACAUCUGUUUCAGCUGACAAUAAAAAGACUAGCAUUGUCUCAAAUGAACUUUAGCUACUGCUUACGUAUACUAAAUCAUGCCUCGUGAUCGUUCUGUUAGUAGUUCAUCCGAAACCAUAGGAGUGACUAUAGCAGAGAUUCACAAUAAUCAUAAAAAUCAUCGAAAUGACAAAAAAAAAAGCAUCUAUGAAGCAUUUAAAUUUUAUUUCAGUGUCAUAUAUAACAUUCAAUCCACAUUCUCAAUAAUCAUCAAAAACUAAUAUAUAUCUAAGAAAUGGCACAUAAAAAAGGAAAUCCACCAUUGUGAUCUUCAUUCUUGCCAAACAGAAAAGGACCAAAAUGAAAACUGAAAUAAGUGAAUUCCCAGAGUAAGAAUUUUUCAGGUUGGUCAAAGAGAACAUCAAAAAUUUCAAAAAAGGAUACACUGAAUGCGACUGCGAGUGUAGUUUAGCUUGGAGAGCUCAUCUGCUAGUAUCUGCUCAGAGAAAGCGUGAUUCAUCCCACCACUUCAAACUAGAACAAACGCCCCUCGCUGUCACUUUCACAAGAAAGCCUCAAGAACAAGCGACAUCAAUCAGAACCUUAAAGAUCACAAAAAAAUUCACCAUUCUAAGCACCAAAAGCCUGGAAAGAUUCGAUCUUUAAGCCCAAAACACAACGAUUUCACUAAAUUCAGCUCAUAAACGGACGGAAAGAAUAAAAAUUCUCAGAAACAAAACUAAAAUCAAGUACCUGAGACAAGAAACGGCAACCAGGACUCAAGGCAAAGAAGGAGAGAAUUCGAACACCGUUACACUCUCAGGCACUGCCGAGAAGCCACCGUGAUCAAAAACCUCGAAAUGGGAAGAAAAGAUGGGAUUUUUACCUUGGGUUUUGAUAUGAACUUAGGGUUUCGAGGAUCGCAGAGCGCUGCCUUCUCCUCUCUACGAACAAAAACUUUUCACCCUCUUUUUAACGUUUGCCGAAUUGGACGACGAACUGGAAGGAAGGCGAGUCGGCGACCACACUGUGGACCCCCAGUGUACCGUAUUUAUACCGUGGGUCCUUAAGACCGAGUGAAUCACGACCUUUGAAAGAAACAUCCGUUCGAUCUGAUGAUGCCACUUUUCCGACGGCUAUUCCCUGAGCGUCACUAAAUUUGUUGCCAUUUAUGCCACUUUUCUCUGUAUUUUGUCUUAAUUGCAUGACCUGUGGGGCCCUAAAAGCGGUGGGUCCCAUCACAACAAAAUGCUUGGUACACCGAAUUUGCCGGGCACCCAGAUUUAGGCUCCGAGGUUGAAUUAUGUGCCCCACCUCCUGUGGUCUUGGGAGGACGGCCGGUGGGUGUGAGUGGGUGUUUUUUCCGUGGUGUGUGAAGCAUUUGUAAAGUUUAUGGUUUGUUUCGUUCAGACAAUUUUAUUGACGGCGGGGGGUAGUGGUUUUGCGGAAGAACUUGCAUGGUUGUGAGCUUGCCUGAGCCAAUGCAUUGGAAAGUGGCACGUGUGAUAUGCACGUGCCUAACCUAAUUUAUUAUUAUUAAAAUAUAUACCAUUUACAGGAGAGAAGCUAUGAGGAGAGUCAGGGAUUGCAAUGGGAGGAGAAAGAAGUGAGAGAAAAGGUGGCGGAGAGGAGUAUGGUGGAGGAAAUGGAGAAAACAAUGCAUGGUUGUGCAGGCAAGAGAGCUAUGAACUGGUUAGGCCCGGGUGAGUGGAGAUUAGCAGCAGAAAACCAACCUUGAGUAAUACUAAGAGGAUCAGAACGAUGUGUUCGCAUAAUAGUUGUUUCCUCUUGUAAUGGAUUUUUGAAUUAAAAAAUCGAUAUACACAACUAUAUAAUAUCUUGAUGAUUCAUAUAUACUUACGAUAGGAAAUGCUUUAUGGGGCAAUUGUUUGAUGUUACAGCAAGCUAUUAAAGUACUCGGCAAAUGGAGUACUUGUCUAGUAUGACACUUAGUCAGUUUUAUAUUGAUUAUUUUAUGUCCUAAUUUUGUGUAACUUUCAGUUUGCAAGUGAUUAAUUUCUCAGUGAUUGCUAAUAAUGAAUAUCACAUAAGCCUUAACCGCUAUACAUUAUAAGAACCUAAUAUAUGGUUCACAUCAUGUAUGUUAAGAUCAAUCUUUUUUAGAUGCUCAUUUUUCUUUGUAUAAACUUGUUACAUCAGUUUGCAAGUUCUCUGUAAUGGAGAUGAAGGAAAGAGGAGUUAGAGCAAGAAAGUCUAUCAAUCAUAAUUAAUCUUUUUCUCAAGAUAAUAGAAACCACUAAAAAGGUUUUUUUUUUAUAUACAAAAAUUGGGAUAAGAUGCAACCAAGUAGGCUUUGUGAUCCUUCCAACUACCAUAAUUUACAUACAACCUAAGCGACGGAUCUUUCCUUCAAUCUAAUGAACCCCAUCUAUUUUAUAUGGCUGAUAACACUAUUCUAGAUCUUUCAAUGGAUUUUCAAAAAGAAUUAAACUUUUUACCUAUAUAUAUAUAUAUAUAUAUAUAUAUAUAUAUAUAGNNNNNNNNNNNNNNNNNNNNUAUAUAUAUAUAUAUAUAUAUAUAUAUAUAUAUGAAGGAGACUCAACUUCUGCACAGUUCUUCAUUUGCAAGAUAGUUGCUGGUGUUAAUGAUGCCGAUGUUAAUAUACCCAUGUAACCAUUAAAAUUCUUUACUAAAUAUGCAAAGCCUUUUAUUUAUUAUGAUUUGUUACAUUGUCAUAUUAGGUUUCAAAACUAUUAAAAAGAAGAAGAAAAAAAAUAUUUCACGCAGACUAGUAUUAAUGAUUAGAGUUUUUUCAUAAAGGCUCAGUUUUGUGCAAAAUUUUCCACUAGCUAUUUGGGCAUCAAUUUUAAUGACACUGAUAUAAUGACAAAAAUUUCUGCUCGACCAUUAUUGAGCUUUAUUACUCAAUGUGAAACAGAAAUUUAGCUAUUGAAGUCUUCUAUUUAUUAUAAUUUAUUAAGUUGCUAUAUUAUAUUUAAAAAUAAUUAGACAAGGAAGAAAAAUUUAUUAGGAUUUGUUACAUUAUGUUAUUACUUCAAAAUGGCUAAAAAAGGAGAAAAAAUAUACCUCGCAUAUCGUGCAAGCCAGUACUCGAUCAUCAUUAAAAUUCAUUACUUAAUAUAUAACAAAAAUUUGGCUAUUGAAACCUUCUAUUUAUUAUCAUUUAUUGUAUUACUAUAUUAUAUUUCAAAAAUAAUUUAAAAAAAAUUACAUGCUUCGCAUCACAUGGGUUAUGCUAGCAGAAUCUAGAAUGAAGGCUAUAGAUCCAUUUUUGGUUAAGGCACUUAUAUAGCUAAUAUUUUUUGGAAUACCACAUUAUUCUCAUAGCUUUUGUUAUUCCUUCUCUCUCAUUUCUCCUUGCAUACCUUUUUUGUGAAAGCUCAUUUAAAACCUCACCAUCCUAUGUAACUUAAAUUAUUUCAAUUUCAUAUCUUUUCUAGGAUGACUAACAAAAAUCCCAUCCAAAAUUCUCCUUUCACUCAAUUUACACUAAAAUAUGAUAAAAUAAAAUGAGUGAAACAAAUCACCAGAAAAUUUUUAUUUUUUAUUUGUUGCCAACACAAUCUAUAAAGUGGAUAUAGUUUCCACUACACCCUCAUGCAGAAAUUCAUAUUAACCGUCAUGUAUCUUUUGAGAUACAAAAAGAAUUUGUAUAAUUUAGCAUAAAGUAUGCUGUGAAUCUCAAAAUCUUUGGUGUAUCAUACAUGGGUUUGAAGUGGAAGCUAAGCUCUAAUAUUAAUAGAUCCCACGUUUUUUGUUAAGUCAGUUUCAUAUGGUUAUGGGAUGAUGUCUUUGUGUAUGUGUAUGUGUUUGUGUGUGUUUUUUUUUCUAAAAAAAGACCGAUAGACCUUACUAGAUUCUCAUACAAUUUUGUAUGCUUAUGUCUUGUAGGAAAGGUAUUCAUGAGAUAAGAAAUGGAUACAAAUUAAGUAAAUAAGCUUGGCUUAGAAAACUAAAAAGUAAAGAAAAUUUAUCAAAAUACAAUAGCUUCUGAAACUAUUUGGAAGAAGUAGUGAUAUACCAUUCAAGCCAGCAAUAUUUAAUAUCAUAGAUAAUGAUGUCUGGACUUUUAGCUUGAGAAAAAAAGAUUUUUAUGUUUAUUUCUAGCUAGAAGAGUACCCAUCCGCUUGUCGUAGCACUUGUUAGAGGAAUUUGUUGAGAACUCACAAUAAUUAGUUAAAUUCCAAAAAAUCUUGUCAUAAUAGAUAUAAGGUGACUAUAGAUGCAAUUUUUUCCAACUGGGCUAAAUAGUGUGGGAGAUAAUGUAUGUUAAUAUUUCUUCUAAAUUGCAAAGACUAGCCUUCUUCGGAUAGAUUAUCUAACACUUUAGGUUGGUCCUUUUAUAUUUAAUGAAAAAUAGAAUUACAAGUCUAAGUGAAAAAAGGUUUAUUGUGUUCCCCAUCUUGUGAGGUUGUUAAACUAGAGAGGACUAGGAUAUGCAAGGCUAACAUAGAUAGGUGGACUUGUACAUCAUUAGAUUCUUAGUUAUAUCUUUUGAAACUUGUAAAAUGAUGGAUGAUCCAAUUGGAAGUCUCUAAACAAUAUUUGUAAGGAAUUUACCUAUGAGAAUUAGAAAAUGUAUUAACCUUUCCCCUUGUUUGACAUACCUUUUUUCUUUUUUAAAUUACAAAACUUCUACAAAAACUUUGGUGUUGGUGCUAAUUGUUAAUUUCUAACUUGAAACACAUUAUACAAUUGCAUUAUUGGUAGUGAUAUCCUUACUGAGUUUGGAGUGAGUAUGUGUUGCUUCGUUACUGCAUGGUAUUCUAUUGGUCGGCUAUAAAUAGUUACAUACUUCCAAUAUAGUAGCUACAAAGUGAAGUUACUUCAAGUCACUUAAUAUGGUUUAGAUAACCAGUUAGUCUCAUUACUCUUUUUUAUUCUAAAUGAAACAAGCAUUCUUUAUUUGAUAACAAAUUCAAUAAAGUUUUCCAAUGCUAAAUCAUAAUAUCAACACAGAAACUUUCUUGAAAACUAGAAGUUCGACCUUAACCCAAUGUUUGAGGGCCCUGUUGAUUUUUUAGUGCAUAUAUUUGGAAAAUGAUACCUGAGGAUUUUUUUGCUGGUGCACCUAAUGGAAUCAAAGAUUUAGAUACUUAGAUGCAAAUGGAUGAUGGAUAAUAAUAUAAUGGCUGAUCUUUGCAAAAUAAUACAGCUCAUCACCAAAAGUCUAAUGAAAUACUUGGCUAGUUAAUGGCAUCAAAGCCAAAAUUAAUACACUUUUCAUAACUAGCCAAGUGCAUCAUAGUUGUAUGAUUGCGCUUGAAUAAUCGAUUGUGUAUACUUUUUUGGGGGUUAGGGAUUAUGUAUCUUGCUUUAGUGCAAGCAAUACUUGUCAGACAUGAGUAGCUAUCAAAAACCUCUUGCAUUUGAACCAUUGAUAGGCCAAUUCUUGAUUCACCAAAAUAUUAUGUUCCUUAAGGAAAGAAAAAAAAAUACCGCUCAAGGUUUUUUUGGGCAAAAAUUAGUAAAUUUAACACUUGAAGUUUGGUGAGGAGCUAAAAUAUAAGUUAAUUAGAAUUUUGUUUCAUGGUUAAGCUUGAAGUGCUAAUGCUAAAAGUUUUCACCUUUUAACUCUUUAAUCCACAUAUACUUAAAAUGUCAUUUUAUUAGAAAACUCUUUUAGAGAAAAUUUUGUUUUUUUGACUCCUUCUAUCAAGGCCCAUAAUGAAGCAAAUCCUAAAGAAAUUUAAGGCAUUAGAUUUGCUUUAAAAUGAUGGCAGAUGUUCAAAUGUUCCUCUACUUGACAAUAGACCAAUGGUGAUUAAUUUAGUUUUCUACAAGAAAGGAUUGAUAAGAGAUUAGAUGCAUGGAAAUGGCAAACUCUUUCUAUGGCAGAAAAGUUAGCUCCGAUCAAUUUGGUCUUAGCUGCAACUCUUAAUACAAUUUUACUUUCUAAUUCUAGAUGGUUUGUUCAAAUGGUUGGAAUGUACUAUACCUGAAGGAUUUGGUAGCACAAAUUUAUCAUUGUGGCAUAAGGUUUUAAUAGCUAAGUUUGUUCUGAAGCUUUUUUUUUAAGCCUUCUAAUUUAGCAUGCCAAGUUCCAUAUGCAAGAUAUGGAUUUCAUGGGGACUAGAGGUACCAUUCAACACCAUAGGUUACAAACAGUGCAAAACUAAUCCAAAAUAAUCUUUAAUGGAUGGUGGGGCUCGGUUCCACUAUUGAAAUUUUUAAUGAUCUUUGGAUUGGAAUACGUGCUUGAAAAGAGUUUCUUCUAUAUUCAAUAUGGAGAUGCUUGUCUCAAGUAUGCAAGUAGAGUCAAUUAUCAAGGAUGGCCAACAGUAUGACAACUUGAUCCAGUGUUUAUCUCCUCAAGGAGAGUGUUGCUCAGAUUUUUAACAUUACCUAGAAUUUCUUCAUAAUCAGAAGUUUUUAUGGUGUAUGGACAUACUCGAAGACAGAAAAUAGCAGUCAAAGAAGUAUAUUACAAAGCUCUGUGUUGCCCAGAUAGACAACCCAAGAGGGGGGGUGAAUUGGGUUUUAAAAUAAUUUAGAUGAUUAAAAUGAUGUGGUUGAUUAAUUAAAAACUAUUGCAAGUUAUUUAAUUAAUGCUAAGUGCUGUGAGUGAUGUGAGGGGAAGAAGAACAGAGACAAUCCAAUGCAAACACAGAGUUUUAUAGUGGUUCGGAGCUACCCCUUGCUCCUACGUCCACUCCCCAAGUCUCUCUUGGGAAUUCACUAUAACCCCCNNNNNNNNNNNNNNNNNNNNUGCACCAAUUCUUUCACAAGCAUGGUAGGCCUACUCAAAGGACACAUCAGAUUGCACUGUGUUAUUCAUUGGUUAAUAUGGAAUGCUCCUAAUGCUUACAUCUUCCAACAAGUGUUUGAUAGCUCUCAACUUUGUGCUACUUGUGCCUUCAUGCAACCUAUUGAAUUUGAUAAAACUAUUGCUUAAAGUAAGAAAAAGUAGAGUAUUAUUUUUUUUUUUGCUUUUAACACUCCCUCUACUCUUUUCUAUGUUAAAUAGGUAUUGAUACCCCCACAACCUACCUGGAUGAACGUAAAUUUUGAUAUAAGGGAUUAAUGGUUGGUGCUAAGUUCAUUAUCCAUAAUGAUCAAAAUAGAAUUAUCAAUCCUCUAAAACAUUCUAGGGUGUUUAUAGCCGAGUUAAGAGCUGUAUGGAAGGGUUGAACUAUGCUUUUAGUAUCAUUUAGGCUAACUCAAUUUGCCUAGAAGGCGAUUCUUCUUAUGUGAUAACUUGGAUCAAUGAUGGAUCUAAGGAGAAUAAAUUUUCUUCUUCACUAUAUUAGAAAGAUGCAUACACUUUCAUUUUCUUGUCACCCACUUCUAUCCUUAAACUAAUCAACUAAUAAAUUGGCGGCUUAUAGAGCUAGAGAGUGAUUAUUAUAUGAGAUAUUGGCUAGUAAAUUUCUCUUGAAGCCGAUAACCCCUUGCGGCCAAGAUGCAAUGAGUUCUACUUCCACAUUUGUGAGAAAUAAAGAGUUUUACUCCUUUCUAUGGCUAGAACUUAAAAAUAAAAAAAACAUAAAACAUCUUCUAUAGCAAAAAUAGUUAAUGGGUGCUGAGGCACCAUAUCAAUUAUCAGUUGAAGCACAUAUCGUUCAUGCCCAAAUCAUAUUAUUGCCUGUCCCUUUUUAUGUUAAAUUCAUCAAAAAUUUUAGUUACAUAUUACUGUAAAAAUAUUCCUGAAUAAGCAUAACUAGAAAUGACUUGGCAUCAACCUGAAUCAACAAAAUUCAUAUUUUUAUCAUUUGCAGCGUGUCGUUUGCUAUACAGUUUAUGCAAUUAAUGAAUGGAUUCUAAGUGUAUAUAUUAAGAAAAAAUAUGGACCUUUCCCACACCGGUUACCUACUAAUUCAUAUGGAAGAACUAGUUAAUGAUAUAUCUAUAUUGUAAAUACUCUACAAGUAAAGCCAAAUGCGUUUCAAUAAAAUGUGCCUGGUAUCUUCUUGAUGAACUAUUGCUUAAAUUGAUAAGCACUAUUUUAUUUUAUUUGUUUUAGUUUUUAAAAAACACUUCCUAGAGGUGUUUUUUGAAUGCAAAAAGGAUAAUGAUAAUUAAAAAAAAUAUACCUCUAUCACUUACUUUUUAUGGCAUUAGAAUAUGUACCAUAGAAUAUAAAAUAUCGAUAUAAGAAAAGGAUACAAGAUAUUGGCCGCAUCAUAUGAUUCAUGAAUAAUGAUACUUGGUGCAACUUGCCACCUCUCAAUCACACACAAACUUCACAAAAUUACCAUUGAAAUAUUAUAAAUUAAUAAAUAUAUUUUUUUCAGCCAAAGAAUGGUUAUUAUUUCAAUCACACAUCUUGGAAAUCUUAUAUUAAGACAUUGGAGUAAAUCAAAGGAAACUAUUGAAAAAAUAUCUAAAUGGUUGAUUUUAUUGUAUCAAAAAUAUGCUUUGCACUUUAUAUGUUGGUAAGUGAAAAUGAAGAUUGUAGACCCAACAAAAAUAAAUUGUUAGAUUAAAGUUUAUUUAUAACCAAAUAUUAGUAUAAAAUGGGAGUCAAUAAAAAAAAUUGAGAGCAGAAGAAUUCAAUGGAAUCAUUUAUCUUUUUAUUGCUAGAGGCAGAAUCAUAUAUAAUUAGAUGAGAUGUAAUAGGAUUGUGAUGAACUAGGAGAAAAUAUAAUCAUGAUCAAGUUUGCUUUUUAUAACACAUUGUUAAUCUUUGCCAACUCUAUCUCUCCAUUUUAUUUGCUUUUUAGUGACUCUUUAUCUAUUUGCUCACUCCACUUGUCAUCCUAUCUUGUCUUUAUUAUUAGAGUUUACAUAGGGCACAUAAUAUCUCAAAAUGGAGACUUGGUUGAUUUUUAUUAGUUUUGAGCUUUAAACCUCAUUUGAUAGUUUAUAAUAAAAUGAAAACCUCAUAUGAAAGUUUAUGAUGAAAUGAAAACUUUAUCUAAAUAUGUUUGGCUUAAAUUGCAACUUUAAAUAUCUUCGAUCUCCAUCUUUAAAUAUAGUUAUCUUUAUUAGUUUUCUUGGACUACAAUAUAUAGUAUAAUUCUUUGCAAGGUGCGUGCAUUGCACCUGUAACAACUCUAAUUAUACAAAACAAACACCAAGAGCAUCUACUGGAUAUUUAGUUGUCUUUGUCUCAUAUCUGUAGUUAUGCAACAAAGAAUAUAGAGAAAAACACAUAUAUGUAGAGAGAGAGAGAACAAGCUUCGAAUUGAAGUUUGAUAUUAAGAAAUGAGAUUCUUAAUUAUUAUUCAUAAAAAUCCUAGAACUUAAUUAGAAAUACUACUCGAGGGAAGCUCUCUCCUAGUAGGAGGCCAAAAUAUUAAGAAUUCAAAUUCUUUUUUUUCAACUAACAAUCUACUAAUAUAACCUUAAGACAAUUAAUAUAAAAUUAAAAAAUAAAAACCAUGAAUUAUUAUUAAAUAUUUGAUUGACAAUAAAUAAUAUCCAUAUCCUAUCAUCCAUAUAUCAAAAAUUUGAUCUUUUUUUUAAAAAAAUAAAAUAAUAAAAUAUGUAUAAUAAUAAGAAAGAAUUACAAGAUAAAUAUAGCUAAUAGUCAACAAAUAAGCAUGCACUUGGAGAGAGAGAUGUGCGCUUCACUAAAUCACUACCAAAAAAUUUAAUGUAGGUGUAUAGAAUUUUGACCUAAUGUUAUGUCACAAACCAUGUAAAGGGCAUCACAAAUUCAAUUUAGCAUUUGAAAUCAUGUCAUACUAUGUGAUUUUAAUUUGUUUACUAACUACUAGUAUUAUUAUAUAAAAAGUAAAUUUUUCUAAUAUAUUCAAUCUUGGAUAUUUUAGUUUUUAUUUAGGACAUAUUUUGUUUUUCUAGUUAGAGCCUCAGAAAUAAAAAUAGGAAUUAGAGGAAUCAUGCUAAUUGUGGAAAGUGGAUUUGUAGUUAACAGACCUCGCUAGACUAUAUAACAUCUCAAAGAGAUUUUUUAGGGAAAAAAUCAAAGGGAUGGUUUUUUGUUCUAAACAACAAACUUAUAUUUGCUAUAAAAACUCAUACAAGGUGUAAACUUUUCACCUACUUCCAAGUCCAAUAACAAAGUUCAAUAGUGAAACCUAGUGAAUGCAAUGAACAAAUACUAAAAAUAUUUGUAAAAAAAAAAGUUUUAGAGAGUCCUUAUCCAUCCAUCUAUUCGUCCAAAAAUUUAUAUACCAUGUCAUUGCCAUUGAAUUCUUGAUUCAAGACAAUUUGAUGCAUAUAGAUCUCUUCAAAUAAUUAUAUAGUAUUUCUUUAUAGACAUUUUAAAGCUGGUAUCACCAUAGUUUGCAUGUCACUUGGCAACUCUAAUUGUUGAUUCAAAAGUCAAAUCUCCCCCAAUCCACACAACCUCAUUGCCUACUGGGCUGGUCCGGGCCUGGGCAUUUGCAGCAAGAAAUAUAUGUUCGAUUCCCUCUGCGGUUCUCCUUCCGUUUCCCUUAGAACAAACCCCGAUGUCGUCCUGUCCUGAUGCCCGAAAGCCUCUUAUAAAACGCCGAGAGAUCCCGGCUCCCUCCCUCGCUUCCCCCAAUCCCUUUCCCCUCUCUCCGCACGAAGCGGUGGACAGAGAACGGAGUGAAAGAAUCUAAUAAGAGCCAAAAACGAGAUCAAGACCUCGAAUCCCUUCACUUCUUCGCAUCCCGAGUCUCGCUAUCACUUCUCCGCAAUGCUGCGAAGGUAUUUCGAUCUCUCUUUCUUCUUCGCGGGCUCCAAUCUCGAUUCUUUAGGGUUUAUGGGGUUUUUGUUCGAUUCUUCCCUUCAAAUCUUGAUGCUCUCCGGUCCUCAUAAUAUUCUUGCCAUUAAAUAUUAUAAAAGAAUUUAGAUAGGGUUUUGUUGCAGUCUUGCAGAUGAUGCUAUUUUAAUGCAUGCAACGGUGAAAUUUUUGUAAAUCAGAGUUUUUUUUGGUAUUUUUUUGGAUAAUUUAGUGCCCCCACUGUAGGUGCAUUUGGAAGCUCUCAUCAGGCGAUUCCCUCAAGAGGAACCCUCGGACGACCAUGGCCCAGGUGCAUAUCCAUUUCUUGAUUACUCUUUUGCUUCUUGAUCCUCUUAUGAGCAUUGAUGCUUUGACUAGGGAGAUUUCUGAGCUUUGUGUGGAGUUUAUAAAAGAAUAAAAAAUGAGUUUGGUAAAGAAAAGUAAUCCCUAAAGCAUGUUGUACAAAGAUAUGCAAAACUAUAAUGAUUGUAGAGUUAGCUUAUCUAGUUUUGUGGAGAACGAAUCUAUGAGAACUAUAUUAUGCUAUCAAGUAUCUUGAGCAGCUAAUAUUUUUUAAUUUUAUGGAUUUAGUUAAACAAUACUAUCAACUCCUGAGGCUUCAAUUUUACAUGUGCGACAAAAAAUCCGCUCAUACCAUAACCGUAAGGAAGUCAAUGCGUAAGUUUAUUGAUGAGGUUAUCAUCCUGUCAUGUUUAGCAGCUAAUAAAGAGUGGUUGUUGUUGCAGAAAAAUUAAUGUAUAGGGCAUAGCAUAUGUUAUACAAAUGUGGAACCAAAUUUUGGUUUUAUAAUAUAUGAAAGAGGUGCAUAAUUUGUAUGAAGGGGUUCAUGUGGCAAAAUGUCCAUGUGUUGGUACCAUAACAGAUUUAUGAGUAGUCAAACUGAAUGUGGUAGUAUGAAGGGGUUUACGCACUCUAUACUCUGUUAUCCUUAUGCAGAAAGAGAUUCUAUAGUUGCCAAUAGAGGCAAAAUAUUGUUGCAUUAAUAGGUGGGUAUUGAAGUGAUUCCCUGUAGUUUGCUAUUCAUGCCUUAACCUAUCUGGUGCUUUGGGUUGUUUGACAUGCACAUCUCCAAAUUGGUGUCAUAGGAUGCAUAACAUAACCAAAACUAGCAAUUCUUAACCCAUUUGUAAGGGUUUGUCUAUAAGAAUCUUUCUUCAUAAUUGGUUCUAAUUUGGACCAAGUAGUGACAUUUCCUUUUGAUGCUCUAUGAUGUAACCUUUCUCUCAACUUACUGCUAGGCCUUCUUAAAAAUUGAGCUUCUUGCAUUAUGAGGGCAUCUAUUGGCUGUUUGUGUACAUGCUAAUACCAUUAAUUUUAUUCCCAUAUCCUAUCCUAUCUGCUUUCCAAAGCAUCCUUUGGUUUAUCCAUCAACGUUCUUGUAUCUCUGAUAUCGACCCAUUGUUUGUAGAUUCAUCAUUGUUGACGGGUAUUCUAUGCCAUGCAACGUUUCUUGGGCUGCUUAUUUGUAUAUUAGAUAAAUGAAGACUGUAUAGAAGACUUAUUGGGUUCCCUAGGCAUUGGCUUCCUCAGGCAUUGAGUGACUGAAUAGGGGGAAAAGAUGAUAGCAAGAGAUCUUUGAACUGAAUUGUAGAUUUACUGGCAAUGUAUUAAAGGUGAUUAUGGACUGAUGCCUAUGGUAGUUGACUGAAAUGAAGAGCAUGUAGGGAUAUAUUUACAGAUUGUGAUGGGUUAAGCCCACAGAUUGUUGGGAAUUAAAAGAUCACAGUCUAGAGAAGGUUAUGACAAUGUUGAGGCUUUAUGGAAAAGUAUGACGGAGGUGGUUUGGGGGUUAAGCCAUAUGUGAUGGUUUAAGUGAAGAUGAUGGGAUGUUGAAAGUAUGAAGGGAUGGCUUUGGGCCAUGAAAAUGAGGGGUUAAGCUAGAAUCUUGGCGACAAUGCAUCCCAAUGUAUGUCAUCAUGGCCUUAAGCGAAAGUUUACUACCAUGAAACAAAUAAGGAUAUAGAACUAUAGAAGUAUUCAAAAUUUCAAACAUGUAUUGUGACCAGAAGCAAUAAAAACAUGCUUGGAACUUCGCGAAUAAGUGCUAACCACUUAUAUGUAAAUCUUGGGCAUAUAAUCAGGGUGUUUUCUUCCAUCAUCUUUUCAUGGAUUUGUUACACAUAAUGCAACAAGAAGCACUAAAAAACUGUAUUAAAUUUUGGGAAAAACUAAGAGCUAACCGUUUCUAUGUAAAUCUUGGGCAUGCAACCUGCAUGUCAUGAUAUGUUUACUGAUUGGUGGGUGCUUAAGCGGCACAGUUAGAAUACCGGUGAGUGUUAAGUAGAAACUGAGCGCAAGGGUCCUUUGGAUUUGAUAGAUGGAGUUGCAAAAAAUGGUGAACUUCCAAAAUUACUAUUGUAAUAGCUUAUUGCCUCUUUCACAAUGCACUUAUCAUAUAUAAUGCCAAAAUCGAUUCAAUGCUUCUGCUGGUUGCUCAUCAUAUCUUUCUUUUGUUUGGUUAUUUUUGUUUCUUAAUUAAUAAGACAUCUGCUAACGCAGUUUCAUGUAUUAUCGGCUUAACUUAUCCUUGUUAUCAUGGAGAGCAGAUGCCCUUUUUACUUUCUUCAAGAUAUGAAUACUCAAAUGCUUCUCACCGAAGUUCAACCCAGAGACCUGCUCCUGCAAAAGAAACUCCUAAUUCAGGGAACUAUAUCUCAAAAAUUGUCCUUGGCAGUGUUGUUGUUGGCGCUGCUGUUAUGACAGCUUACAAAAUCGGCUUUUUAGAUAUUAAACUUCCAGAUAAAGCAUCUUCUCGAAAUUCUAGUAAGCUAAACAAUGUGAGAAAGUCAGAGAUUCUCGAGCAUUCUGCUGAACAAACAGUUCAUCAAAAUAAUGAAAAACUGAGCACAUCAAAAGCUGACAUGGAGAUUGUCGAGAAGCACGAUGAACCUGGCCAUUUUAACGAUUCAGAGAUCAAGAGGGAAGUUCCAGAGAUAGCACCUGCAGAGGAGCCUCUGCCUGCCAAACAGAAUGAAUCAGUUAGCCUUUCUCAGGAGGCUGCUUCAGUCCUAGGUGGGCAAUCAGUUGAUUCGGAAAUACCACAUGAAGACAUUCAGAACAGAGAUAGGCCUGUGGCUCAAACAGAAACCAAUGUGGAACAGAAGACAAGUGAAGCCUCUGUGGAACAAAAUGCAGAAAUUGGCAGUUUAGUUGAUGUUCCCAAGGAAACUACAAAUGAAGCCGCUUCUCAUCAUGAUACUUCAUUGGAAAUGCCAAAGGUAUGAACUUGUUCAGGUAGCAUCUUUUUCAUUAGAUUUACCUUGUUUCUGUUGUCUUUCUUGCUUUAACCUUGUUUUGAAGUUUUGUUACUCUUCUGACAUAAUUUCUGCUUCCAGAUGUUCAAUAAAAGCCAUUUAAGGUGCAAACUGCUGUGUGCCUUUGCUAUGUAAUUUUUUCCGUGAAUUGAUUUUAUCAUCCUAACAUUCAUGAGAGUUGCUUUGAUUGUUGUUGUGUACUACAAAGGCCCAAUAGAUAAUUCUAUCUUAACCUUAUCUAACAAGCUUGUCCCUGGUUUGCUUUGAUGGAUUAAAGUAUGAUUGAUUUCAGCUGAGAACAUUUAGUAACUGUCUCAACAUUGUCCUCCAUCUACAAUGAAUCUUAAUGAUUAUACAAGGUAAUCUUAGGUAAGAUAUUGGUGUGAAUGAAACAUGAAAGGUCAGUUUUUGUGUAAGGAGACUAAUUAUGCAAUUUAAGUUCCUGCAAUCAGGAAGCAAUUCUCCAAGUUCUCAUAAGAGUAAGGAAAUAGAUGCAGACAAAGAGGGAAGAGGGCAAGGUUUGAUACAAGGAAGUACAUCCAUAUCUUAUGAAUUGCAACCUAAAAAGUCAAAUUGGCUGUAAAUAUCUUUUUGUAUCAAUUUGAUAGGGGCGUACUUUGCGUCCUUUUUUCAGUUUCAUUUCUAAUGAUGAUAGUCCCUUGCUUGUGUUAAGGAGUAUGCUUCUUCUGUUGUUACUUGGGAAGUUAUAUUUUUUGUAGAAGGUUAUAUCGUCUUGUUGCUUCUAUAUAUCCAGUAUAUCUAGCACCAAUUCCUUGGCAUGGCCUAUGUGGAUGUCGUGCAACAUUAUGUCGAUUUAUUCCAUAUAUCUUGACUUGCCAAAUGACACACUAUUAUAGAUAACUUCAAACUGUAGUAAACUCAUCUGUCUCUCUGUCCUUCCCAUCCAAGAGAGGGAGAAAAAAGAUGAGUGCACUAGCCAAAAGUUGGUCUGUAGUCAUCAAGUUACAAAAACAAUACUAUAGAAAAUUUUUAACUAGACAUAUCACAACAACCAUGCUUCCUCUCACAUUCGCUCAGUUACUCGUAUGGGUUUUGUCUCAUGUGCCUGUAUAUGCUACUUGCCAGUUAAUGUUUGCCAUGUUUUUAUUUAAAAUCGAUAUAUCCUUGAAUCUAGGCACUAAUAUAGUUUCUUUACCCACCUUGCAUUCAUAAGAAGUCAUAAAUAAUAUGUUAUUGCAUUUUUGGCUGCCUAAAUGGGAGGUUACGAGAAGACUAGGGCAUGUUUUUUGUCUUGAUAAGGCUAGUAUACUCAUGUAACACCUUUUAGACUAUUCUCUAUCGAAUGAUUGUGAUUAGUGUGAGUUUCAGUGAGAAUGAUCAAUGGGGUAGCCAUUUUUGUUGUGUUGAGGAAUUCCCAUUUUCAACAACAUACAGCGACAUGCUAGCACACUUAAAAAUAGCAUCUAGCACGUGCAAUCCACAUGAAGUGUAUAGAUAAAAAAAUCUUUAAAAUAUAGACAUUUAUGAUAUGUUUAUCAAAUUUUAAAAUUUAUAAUUAUAAUUAUAAUCAUUAUUUUGAAAGUUCAAUUUUAUAAACAAAAUUUUAGAUGUAUUGAAAUUUUUGAAGUAGUUAGAAUUCCAUAAUCAUCAAGCUAAUGAGUGCUAGUUACAUUGGUCAUGAGGACCGAAGGCCUUGAUAUCGACAAUUCUGGAGAGCGAUCAGAAGGCAGAGACUAAGAGGGAGUCAACUCAGUUGAUGAGGUCAAGUCUCCUAAAGGUUUGGUUUUUGGUACGUCCACCGUAUCAGCAGAAGCAUCCAAUGACUCCCUUUUGGAGUCUUCUGUGAUGUCCAAUACUAUGGCAAGCUUUGAAACACUACCCACCCGACCAUGAAGGGGUGCCUUAUUCUACCACUUUGUUGAAGAGGAAUGGACCUAGGCUUGUGAACUAUAGCCUUUAUCCUCUUUGAAGCAUGAACUUAGGUCUUUAAUGCCGGCCGAGCAGGAGGAAUUGAAGGGGCUACAGAGACAAGGAUUGGUCAAAAACUGUUUUGCAGAUACACUUACUCAGUUCAGUCAAAGAGAUAUACCUUUGCCCUUGACUGAGGUUGGAGACUUAUCGACAGUCGGGUGUGAACUAGAGGGCGUGGUAGAUAGAGUCAAGAUGAGUGUCGAUGUUGAUAUGGCCCAGGAUGGCGGAAGCAUGUUCAUGCUAAAUAUUAGUUAUGUGAGCCUUCCACCAACUUAGAAAUUCUCCCGUCAUGCUAGGCUGAAGGUCGAAGGGGACAAAGUGAUAAUCCAGGUAUAGCUGCUUGUAGAAAAAGUCCAUCAACACGAUCUGAUGUGGCUCAGAAAUAAGGAGCCGAUCAACAAAUGACACAUUCAAAGUGUAGAGGGGCGAACAAGGGAUAUUCUGGGUGAGACCGAAUUGAUAAGCAAAGAUGGUGGGGAAGUAGGGUUCAAUGGAGCACUUAUUAUUCAUCGAUCUAUCAAUUAUUGAGCUAACAUGGAGAUCUCUAGGAACUAAGAAGUUUCUCCAUAGAAGUCCUACAACUUUGGUCUCGGUUGAGAACAUAUCGUCCACUGGAAAUAUCAAUUAGGCUGGUUUUGGGGAAUGGGUCAGAUGCACUGAUGAUUCUUUUUUCCUCCCUUGUGUUUAGAAUGUGGGUCCCAUGUCGGUUUCAUGUUAUGGAGUCCAGUUUCAGCAUGGUAUAUUCUAAGAAGGAGAGAGAGAGAGAUGGGGAAUCAGGCUCUCUCUUUAGUUGGUGCAAGUUUCCUAUGAUGUGGGCCCCACUUUACUAAAAUAGAGAAAGAAAGAUACCUUAUUGCGCAUAUUUUUCUUAGGAAGGGGAGUGCUCUCUCUCUCUCUCUCUCAAAGCAUUCGUGUGAGCCAUAGGCUUUCAACUAGAGUUUGGCUACGCAUGUCGACUUUAGGAGUUUUCAUUAUAUAUAGUAGAUAGUAGAUAUACAGCUGAAAUACCUGAACUUUGUAGCAAGAAUUUUCAAUUUAGGGUUGUGCACUCGCUUCUGAAUCUCCUCAGAAACAUGUCCUUGCACCUGCUUUCCAAGUUUUUUAUUAAUUUUUAUUAAAAGACCUGCUUCCCUGUACCACACCUAACCAGCUUCCAUUAUAUAAGAUACCAGAUGCUUGUGGAUUGUGAUCAUGUCUGCAGAACCUUAAUUCUAGGAGCAUGAUUUCAUGGUCCAGGAUAACUUUGUCAUUCAAUGGUUUACCUGGUUAUGAGAAGCCACACUUUGUCCUGUUCCCUAUUUGAAUUGAUAAAAAUAGUUGCCUCCUUGCAGAAUUCACUAAAUGCAGAAACAGAGGCCCCGAUACCCCUCUCCCAAUCAUAUUCUCUUCAAGAUGAAGUGAACCCUGACAUUUCCAGAAAAGAAGAGGGUGCAGAUGCCUUAGCAAUGUUUUCUAAGAAUAAAGAGGUUAUUUCAUGGCAAGAACUUGACCAUUCUGGAUGUGUUUUCUACUGUUUUGAUGUUUAGUGCACAUCCUUUUUGCCUUUCGAGAAGCUCUUGCUUACUUUCUUUUGUGAUAAUGAAGGCUUCAGUUGUUGCACAUGAAAAACCAGAGGACAAGAAAACUUCUGAAGAUGGGAAAAUAAUACUUGAUUUAAUAGAUGCUAUUCAUACUGCUGAAAGAAAGCAAGCUGAAUCAGAUGCUUAUAUCUUUGCUGAAGAGAAAAAGAAGCUCAAGGUUUGCAUUCUUGCAUGAUCCUUUAAAGUUAUUUGCAAAUCUAAAUUCUUGGUGCUUUUGUGUGUUUUUGUGCAUCCAUCCAUUUCAGUGUUAUGUGGACUUUCUCUAGUAAUAAUUGUAUGGCACAUGCCCAAGAAAGUAUAAAAUAGAACUCAUCUGAUGAGAAAGAGUUAUCCAAAUAAUGAUGCAUAAUAUAGUACCAAAAAAUGAUAAAAAGACUAUAUCAAACUUUCUUAGAAUUGUUCUCGGAUUUUUUUUUGAAAAAAAUAUGGAUACAUUUUCCUACAAUAAAUAUUAAAUAUGUAUUGUUUCGGCAUGACCCAAUUUAUUAUUGAAUUCCUUUAGUGCAUUCCUUGCUUCGUUGUUUAGUUAAUUUAAAAAUCAUAAAGUACUACAUUUCUUUCCAAGCUACUGACUAUAAUCUAUUCAGAAUGAUUUUUGUUCAAACUCCACUGUUUUUUUGUUCAUUUAGUGUUACCAAGAUCUAGAAUGCCUAUAAAACCCAUAGUUUCUUACCUAAAAUUUUGUUUUGACCAGUGCACUUUUUCUAGGUCAAUUUCUUGUUGCCUCUACAUUACACAAUUAAACUAUAAAAAUCCUCUAUUCAUUUUUUGUUUUGAUAUUCUGCUAGUUAAGAAAUCACAUUACCUUUCUUUCUCUAUAAUCUGGUGAUCUGAAAUCAGUCAAUAAUUUUGUUCAAACUUGUUUGUUUCUGAAUGACAGUUAGUUUGAUCUUUUAUUGGUAGAUUUUUUUCUUUCUUAAAGACAUGUAUAUGUAUUAGUUAUCUUGUUUCUUUAUGAAAUUCUCCAUUGAUCAAGGGUCCAUAUUGUGCCUUUAAAACCCAACUUGCAAGAACCACACCAAAAGAUCACAUUCAAAUUGAUGUCAAUGGUGACAUUCCAUUCAGUUAUUUUUGUAUGUGCCUUUAUAUGCAUCCAUCAAAUCAUAUUUUUGAAAGAAAUGAUUCACAACACCAAACUAAUAUGCAGGCUUAGAUAAUAGGGUGGCCUGGUGCACCAGGCCCUUACCAUUGUCGGGUCCAAGGAGGGUCAAAUAUAUGCAGCCUUACCUCUGCAUGCAGCGAAACUAUUUUUGUGUUUCGAACACGACCUCCAGAUCACAAUGGAGAAACUUACUGUUGCACCAAGGCUCACCCUCUAAUGGGUAGGCUUAUAUAAGGAAACAAAAGCCUUUUCCCCCCUUGAAAAGCAACAAGGAGCAUGAUUUGCUUUUAAACUUUGGUUCAGAAGGGGGAAACGAGACAAACAUUUUUGGGAGUAUGGGAGACUUAUUGAGAGAUUUAUAUUCUGCAUACUUAAUAACUAGUCAUUUUUUUUUUAUCAUUCUGUUUCACUUCAGGAGAAAUAUGAAAAAGAUCUGAAGGAUGCAAGGGCGAGAGAACUUAUGUAUGCCGAAGAGGCAGCAAUCUUGGUAAAGGUAUUAGAACAUUUAUUAUCUUGAUUUUGUAAAAUGUUAGUUUCUCUGAUAUAUGUUUCACAUUUGACCAUUGCGACUUUCAUUGUUUAGUUUUAUUCUUCUUGGAAAAGAUGUAGUGGUACAGCAGUUUUCUUCUUCCUGAUGCUUUACAUUUGCAUAUGAAAUUGUUUAGUCCUUUAGUGUUACCUUUGGAUAUAAAUUUACAGGUUUACUUAUAUCAGUGGUACUUGUCGUUGGAUAGCAAUACGCUCUUAACACAAUGUUUAUUAUGAAAGUGUGUUUCGUUAGUUUCAGAUGGCAGAUACGGAAAUCACUAAAUAAAAAAUGCGCAUCACAGUAAGCAAGCAAUUGUUGUUCAGUGAUUAUAUGGUUCUCAAAAAAACUUUGCACUUUUGACAGAAGUCUGUAUUCCUGUUAUUGGUGAUGGUUUUACUCGCAAUACUAUAGCUUUCAAGAUAAUUAACUUGUCACAUCAUGGCUCUCUCUUUUUUAUCACAAGUAGAACUAUACAAUUUUAUCCAUUCAAGGAUGUUUUUCUCUUAGUUUACUCUUCAAGAGGGAAAACUUCAACUAAAAGCUCAUAGACAUCAUAAUGGUAUAGUAUUUAUCCACUGAUUUGUGAUAAUGUUCAUUUGGACAUUUACAUUCAAGGCCUAUCAUUGGAUAAUUUCUUGUUUCUUCUAAAUUUUGUUGAUUCAUAUAUUACUCUGUAAGUUUUUAAGUCUAGACUCUAGAGCAUUAUUUGAAUCAGUAUUCUACUUAGCGAUGCUAAAGGGCAUGGUCUCUGAUGAAUAAUUUUUGUAUAUCUAAAGGUACAUAGGUUGCUAAUGACUUUUGUAUCUUUCAGUGAUUUUUCUACCAAAUUAUCCUUUUCACGUGAUGCAAGUAGAACAGUGAGGCUCAAUCAUCAUACUGCCAUGAUUUUAUAAUGUUUGCUUACAAGGGGUGCCAAUGUCAUUAAGGAGUGGAGGUGCAACUGAGAAAGGUAGAAAUUUGUGAGACAAGGGGAUUCUUCAUAGCCUAGCUCAUUGGGGAAAGUUCUUAGCCUUUGUAGUAUGUACAUUGGAAAGGCCAUUCCAAAAUGGGCAUCUCCUUUGUAAACAGUGUUGAAACUACUUAUAUAUAUUACGUUAUAAUUGGAGAUGGAUGAGGGGCAAGGCAGAAUGCAGAGACUUUAGUUAGUACAUAAGUUUCUUUAUGCUUCUUAGUAGUCCUUAAAAUUACUGGCAUAAGUUUCUCUCUCUCUGUGUGUGUGUGUGUGUGUGUGUGUGUGUUUAUGUGUGUGCGUGUGUGUGUGGGUGGGUGGGUGGGUGGGUUGGGGGGGGGGAGGGGGUGGUGGUGGUGGUGUCAUACUCCCUCCUAAAGCAUGUAUUAGAUUUGGGCAACUCAAGAUAUCCUGAUAGAUGUCUUUGUGGCUUUUUGUCUAUUAAAAGCUCAUCCAUCGGCAUAUUCUGAACUAAACAUUGAAGGAUUAAAAUGUGAAAGCAGAAAUGUUUUCUUUUAGGUAUGAAUGCAUUCAUGGAAUCCUACAAACUAUUGUUGUAGAGGAGAAAGUGAUGACGGACCGGUUAAAAUAGUAUACAUAUGCAAUGAAGACCACAUGUUGCCUCAAGGAGUGCGGCUUGAUUUUUCCAGGAAGGGUUAUAAAAGAUAAUAAGAUACCAGAAUACUAACAUGUCCAUGUGUUUGUGUGUUUGAGGGAGGUAUCCUGCAUCAUAAAUUUCUUCCAUCAUGCAACAAAAAUGGUUACAAUAACUAAUAAAGAAACAAAACUUGUCAAAAUUCCAUUUUUCAUAAUGUUUUCCUUCCAAAAUUUCAAAUUUGUUUAACUAAGAUACCUCUACCCAAAUAGAGUAUUUAGUACGAAUUUAUGGCACUGUGACUUGUUUCGAACUUAACCCAAUAUUGGAGUAGUUGAUAUAUGAGUAAAUAGCUCUCUACAGUGUAGGUCAUAAUUCUUUUGCCAAAGCCUGCCGGUAAAGUUAAAUGCUGUUUUAAGAAUUAUUUUGGGAGUAUAUAUAUAUCAAAUCAUCAUAAUGCUCAAUUAACAUCAUUGGUAGAAUAUUUUACCUUGCUUUGUUAAACUAUGUUUCAGGAGUUAAACCGAGAGAAGGCAAAGGCAACAGCUACAAUAAAGUCACUUCAAGAAAAAGCUGAACAGAAUCUUCGAGAGGAAUUGAGACACAAGGUAAUACCCAGCUAGUGGGACCAGUUUAUGCAUUGCAUUGCUAGAUUCUUCUUACAAACUACUUGAUUCCAUUUCUUUUCAGAUGCAGAAGUAAAACAAAACUCUUUGCUCUUUGCUUUUUGCAGGAUGAGGAAACUGAUAUAAAGCUUAAGAAAGUUCAGGAGUUGGCAAAAGCCGAAUUAGCUGCUGCUAUUUCAAAGGAGAAAGCAUCCCAGAUGGAAAAAAUUGCUGAAGCUGACCUCAAUGUAUGUCUCGUGCUGUUGCAAUUGGCAUAUGUGAAUACUCUUUUAUAUAUCACCAUUUUUUUCCUUAUGUUUAAAAGCAUUUAUGAGCUGUAGGCUAGAAUGCCCUAUUUUCCUUCCAUCGCCAGUAUCCUUGAUAUGUUCUUCGAAAGUUCUUAGGGUGAUUUAUGUAUUUUGGGCUCUUGUAGAUUAAUGCCUUGUGCAUGGCAUUCUAUGCAAGAUCUGAAGAAGCCCGCCAGACUCACUCUGUUCACAAGCUUGCGUUGGUGCGUUUGCUGUUAAUAUUUACUAGCAUUAUGUUUGUAUCACUUUACCUGAAAAUUUCUUAAAAUGUUGAAGCUUUGAUUUAUUAUAUUUGUAAUAUUACAACUUCUAGGUUGUCUGUGAAAAAUGUAUUUUAACUCCACUAAUGUUAGAAUCUUACAGGGUACACUUGCUUUGGAAGAUGCUCUGUCUAAAGGACUGCCAAUUCGAGCGGAGGUAGCUGCACUACGCAAGUCCCUAGAAGGCAUUGACAAAGAAUCUCUUUUAGAUUUAGCACUUACAUCUCUUCCAGAAGAAAUAUUAAACUAUGGGUCAAGUACCCAGAUGCAAUUGAAUCAAAAGGCAAGUCAGAUUAUUCUCUUAGACUUUGGAGACUUAGCUUGUUUUCGUUGCUCUUGCUACUUCUGAUUUGCUGCUUUUAUAGAUUUCUGUUAAGCGUGUCUUGCCCACUAUUGGCAAAACUGAUUGCAUGUAUAUGUUGUAUUUGAAUCGGUGAUAGAAGUUUCUAUGCCACACACACACACACACACACACACACACAUAUAUAUAUAUAUAUAAUAUAUAAAUACUUGAAGACUAGUAAUCUCUCUAUUCUUCUUUUCCUCAGCACAAUUGUUUAUGACUGUCAAUUGAUAGUAAAAUCUACAUUACCAGUAUGUCAAUUGGGAGGUGUUUGCUGAUCUUAUUUUGUCUUUUAUUACAAUAAUGGUGUAUAUUCAUUUGCAUGUUGAUUAUGUCAUGAGGGGAUCAGAAAAUCCCAUGAGAAGAUGAUAUGGCUUCGAACUUGUUAAUAUAGCAUCAUUCUUGUGUUGUAGAAGUUCCGAUUCAUGAGCCAAGAAGGGCCUUUCUUUUAGUGCUAUUAUAUUUUCAGAUAUUUGGCUUUCUGUAGUGCUACAGGCAAUGGCCUGUGCAUGGGGAUGGACCUCCCUGAUAACACUACCUUGAUGAAAAUAGAUGGAGUCUGUGCCUCUGGUACAACCAUCAAGUGGCUUUACUGCACACUAAGCUGAAAGCUUUGAGGACCCAUGCAAACCUGUAUAUGGUCCCACAUAGGAUGUGUGUUGGGAGGAUCUUUGGUACUUAAGUAGGCCAUGGAUCCAAAGUAAUAACAUUUUGGCUGGGGCAUUACAAGUGGUAUCAAAGUAGAUCCAGCCCAAGAUCCAUGUGUGGCUAGGGGCAACGUAGCGUGGGUCCGUUCAUGGCUAACACAUGCCACUCAUAAUGUUUUUCUGAUUUGACCCUUUUCGAGUGAGAAUGCGAGGGUUUAAACGGGUGGGUAUAUGAGAAUCCAUGUAGGCAUGUAUUUUUUAUUUUUUUUGCUUAAACGUAGUCAUGUAUUUAGUCCUACAUUGGUUGUACGUUGGGAAGAUGUUGGGCACUUAAGCAGGGCUAGGGAUCUUAAAUAGUUACUUCUAUCUAGCCUUCUCUCCAGUCGGAUCACAUUACAACACCUUUUGGAGGUUUAUCAGUUCAACCUUUCACGGUGCUUUGUAUCUAUUGGAAGGAAAUUCUGAAGCAAGUGUUCAUGCACGUAAUACCAGGUUACUAAAUUUUUUAAUUAUUCUUUCUGGGUGGGAGGGUGGACGAGGGGAAGGAUUAA